RNAcentral lists this ribosomal RNA (212 nucleotides) under uncultured bacterium. RNAcentral's name for it is "partial 16S ribosomal RNA". It matches the Rfam family "Bacterial small subunit ribosomal RNA", at positions 524 to 733 of the family's 1533-position model. The record is from RNAcentral.
UACGUAGGGUGCAAGCGUUAAUCGGAAUUACUGGGCGUAAAGCGUGCGCAGGCGGUUUUGUAAGUCUGUCGUGAAAUCCCCGGGCUCAACCUGGGAAUUGCGAUGGAGACUGCAAGGCUAGAAUCUGGCAGAGGGGGGUAGAAUUCCACGUGUAGCAGUGAAAUGCGUAGAGAUAGUGGGAGGAACACCGAUGGCGAAGGCAGCCCCCUGGG